Molecule: ribosomal RNA, 253 nt
Filed under: uncultured bacterium
Lineage: Bacteria
Description: partial 16S ribosomal RNA
Rfam family: Bacterial small subunit ribosomal RNA
Source: RNAcentral
UACGGAGGAUCCAAGCGUUAUCCGGAUUCAUUGGGUUUAAAGGGUGCGUAGGCGGAACGAUAAGUCAGUGGUGAAAGCCUGCAGCUUAACUGCAGAACUGCCAUUGAUACUGUCGAUCUUGAGUACAUUUGAUGAGGGCGGAAUGUGUCAUGUAGCGGUGAAAUGCUUAGAUAUGACACAGAACACCGAUUGCGUAGGCAGCUAACUAGGCUGUAACUGACGCUGAGGCACGAAAGCGUGGGGAGCGAACAGG